This 73-nucleotide transfer RNA is filed under the name Armillaria ostoyae. It matches the Rfam family "tRNA". From Rfam's summary of the family: Transfer RNA (tRNA) molecules are approximately 80 nucleotides in length. Their secondary structure includes four short double-helical elements and three loops (D, anti-codon, and T loops). Further hydrogen bonds mediate the characteristic L-shaped molecular structure. tRNAs have two regions of fundamental functional importance: the anti-codon, which is responsible for specific mRNA codon recognition, and the 3' end, to which the tRNAs corresponding amino acid is attached (by aminoacyl-tRNA synthetases). tRNAs cope with the degeneracy of the genetic code in two manners: having more than one tRNA (with a specific anti-codon) for a particular amino acid; and 'wobble' base-pairing, i.e. permitting non-standard base-pairing at the 3rd anti-codon position. Lineage: Eukaryota; Fungi; Basidiomycota; Agaricomycetes; Agaricales; Physalacriaceae. The record is from RNAcentral.
GCCCCCUUUGUCUAAUGGUUAUGACGUCAGACUUCUAAUCUGGAGGUUGCGGGUUCGAGUCCCGCAGGGGGUU